RNAcentral lists this ribosomal RNA (497 nucleotides) under uncultured bacterium. RNAcentral describes it as "partial 16S ribosomal RNA". It matches the Rfam family "Bacterial small subunit ribosomal RNA", at positions 28 to 507 of the family's 1533-position model. The record is from RNAcentral.
GUUGAACGCUGGCGGCGUGCCUAAUACAUGCGAGUCGAGCGAACGGACGAGAAGCUUGCUUCUCUGAUGUUAGCGGCGGACGGGUGAGUAACACGUGGAUAACCUACCUAUAGGACUGGGAUAACUUCGGGAAACCGUAGCUAAUACCGGAUAAUAUUUUGAACCGCAUGGUUCAAAAGUGAAAGACGGUCUUGCUGUCACUUAUAGAUGGAUCCGCGCUGCAUUAGCUAGUUGGUAAGGUAACGGCUUACCAAGGCAACGAUGCAUAGCCGACCUGAUAGGGUGAUCGGCCACACUGGAACUGAGACACGGUCCAGACUCCUACGGGAGGCAGCAGUAGGGAAUCUUCCGCAAUGGGCGAAAGCCUGACGGAGCAACGCCGCGUGAGUGAUGAAGGUCUUCGGAUCGUAAAACUCUGUUAUUAGGGAAGAACAUAUGUGUAAGUAACUGUGCACAUCUUGACGGUACCUAAUCAGAAAGCCACGGCUAACUACGUG